CAGAGAUGGCUAAGGCGGCUUUCUAUCAGCAAACUGCAUGGAUCACAUAUACCCAUGAUAUAUGUAUAUGUGAUAUACGGCUACUUGGAAACAAACAAAAAAAUUCAAGAGGAGAAGCAUUAUAAAACAGAUAUGCAAGCAUUUCUGGAGGACUCAGU
Molecule: long non-coding RNA, 158 nt
Filed under: Mustela putorius furo (domestic ferret)
Lineage: Eukaryota; Metazoa; Chordata; Mammalia; Carnivora; Mustelidae
Description: lncRNA (ENSMPUG00000025300.1)
Source: RNAcentral